GCGGGUUUAUCCCCGCAGCAGAGCUCCACGGCCAGCAAUCAGAUCCACUCUGAGCGGUGUUGUGGUGAAAGACGCAGCCCCGCUGUUACAGCGCUCGCCACGGGAGCGCGCAUUUCAAACAAAAACACACAAUCGAAAAAGGAGUUCCUGGUACACAAGGUACCCAGGUCCAGUGGCUGCCGAACUAGCCCAAAUCAUCAGCCCUCCACCACCAUGCUUUUAUGGUGAGCUACAUUAUAGCCACAGCUGCCCUGGGGCAGCCUCAGAGAAGCAAGGCUUCCAUACAAUCGGCACCACCGGGUCCUCUGACCACCAUCAGCAGGCAAGGAGGGUGAGGUGACUUGCCCCAUGACACAACAACUGAGACAAGAGUGGUUGUUCAAACCGACAACCCGCUGGUUACAGGGUGAACCCCUA
Molecule: long non-coding RNA, 417 nt
Organism: Girardinichthys multiradiatus
Lineage: Eukaryota; Metazoa; Chordata; Actinopteri; Cyprinodontiformes; Goodeidae
Exons: 3
Source: RefSeq, a predicted model, not a curated record